This 709-nucleotide ribosomal RNA is filed under the name Alexandrium catenella. RNAcentral's name for it is "LSU rRNA". It matches the Rfam family "Eukaryotic large subunit ribosomal RNA", at positions 23 to 671 of the family's 3401-position model. Lineage: Eukaryota; Dinophyceae; Gonyaulacales; Pyrocystaceae. The record is from RNAcentral.
ACCCGCUGAAUUUAAGCAUAUAAGUAAGUGGUGGAAAUUAAACCAACUGGGAUCUCUUCAGUAAUUGCGCAUGAACCAGGAUAUGCUUAGCUUGACAAAUGGAGCUGCUGGCUCUGAAUUGUAUUGUGGGAAUGUAUUACCAACAGAGGUGCAGGUGUCAGCCAUUUGAAAGAAAGCAUCAAUGAGGGUGAGAGUCCUGUUUGUCAUGUGCAGCCUUCUGUGCACGGUGUAUAUUUGCUGAGUCACACUCCUCGGCAUUGGAAUGCAAAGUGGGUGGUAAGUUUCAUGCAAAGGUAAAUAUGCAAUUGAGACUGAUAGCGCACAAGUACCAUGAGGGACAUAUGAAAAGGACUUUGAACAGAGAAUUAAAUGAGUUUGUAUUUGCUAAACGCAAAGUAAACAGACUUGAUUUCCUCAGUGAGAUUGUAGUGCUUGCUUGACAAUGGGUUUUGGCUGCAAGUGCAAUAAUUCUUGCUUUGUGUGCCAGUUUUUAUGUGGACAUUUGAUUACCUUUGCACAUGAAUGGUAAUUUUCCUGCGGGGUGUGGAUUGCAUAUGCAUGUAAUGAUUUGCAUGUUUGUUAAAUGUGUCUGGUGUAUUUGUUUGUGUCCUUGUCCUUGAGGUUGCUUUCUCCCUUGGGCUUACAUGCCCUGGCACACACAUUCUGGCAAAAUGCUUCUGCUUGACCCGUCUUGAAACACGGUCCAAGG